UCCCUACGGGAGGCAGCAGUGGGGAAUAUUGCACAAUGGGGGAAACCCUGAUGCAGCGACGCCGCGUGAGUGAAGAAGUAAUUCGUUAUGUAAAGCUCUAUCAGCAGGGAAGAAAAUGACGGUACCUGAGUAAGAAGCCCCGGCUAACUACGUGCCAGCAGCCGCGGUAAUACGUAGGGGGCAAGCGUUAUUCGGAUUUACUGGGUGUAAAGGGAGCGUAGACGGGAGCGCAAGUCAGAUGUGAAAACUCAGGGCUCAACCCUGAGCCUGCAUUUGAAACUGUGUUUCUUGAGUGCUGGAGAGGC
This 305-nucleotide ribosomal RNA is filed under the name uncultured bacterium. RNAcentral describes it as "bacterial SSU rRNA". It matches the Rfam family "Bacterial small subunit ribosomal RNA", at positions 335 to 658 of the family's 1533-position model. The record is from RNAcentral.